CACGUAGGGGCCAAGCGUUGUCCGGAUUUAUUGGGCGUAAAGAGCUCGUAGGCGGCUCGGUAAGUCGGGUGUGAAACCUCCAGGCUCAACCUGGAGACGCCACCUGAUACUGCUGUGGCUAGAGUCCGGUAGGGGAGCGUGGAGUUCCUGGUGUAGCGGUGAAAUGCGCAGAUAUCAGGAGGAACACCAGCGGCGAAGGCGGCGCUCUGGGCCGGAACUGACGCUGAGGAGCGAAAGCGUGGGUAGCAAACAGG
RNAcentral lists this ribosomal RNA (254 nucleotides) under uncultured bacterium. Its description in RNAcentral is "partial 16S ribosomal RNA". It matches the Rfam family "Bacterial small subunit ribosomal RNA", at positions 524 to 776 of the family's 1533-position model. The record is from RNAcentral.